GAUGUAAUCCCUUUAGCCUGAUCAAAACACAACUAUAAUAACCUAUUUAUUUAAUAAAAAUAAUAAAACAUUCUGUAUUUCUAGUAUAUGCGAUAAAAAAAUUAAUCAGAGCAAUAACAAAAGUACCGCAAGGGAAAAAUGAAAUAAAAAUGAAAUAACUUCACACACCAAAAAGCAGAGAUUAGACCUCGUACCUUUUGCAUCAUGGCCUAACAAGUCUAACCAGGCAAAACGAAUUUUAGUCUGACUUCCCGAAACUAAGUGAGCUACUCCGGGGCUACUUCAUGUUUAACCCGUCUCUGUGGCAAAAGAGUGGGGAGACCCCCGAGUAGAGGCAAAAAACCUAUCGAACUUAGUAAUAGCUGGUUGCUUAGGAAAAGGAUUUAAGUUCUGUCUUAAAAAUAUUAAGCACAUUAAGCCUACAUAAUUUUUAAGAACUAUUCAAUAAGGGUACAGCCUUAUUGAAAAAGGAAACAACCUAAAACUGCGGAUAAUGAUUAAUAUACUAAAGGAAUAAAGGUUAAGUUGGCCUAAAAGCAGCCAUCUUUUAAAAAGCGUCAAAGCUUCACCUUUUUUAACCUCAAAUAAUACUAUUGUUUCAAAAUCCAAAAGCACUACUAAGCUAUUCUAUACCUUUAUAGAAAAAUUAAUGUUAGGACUAGUAACACAGAAUAAUUCUCUUACAUGUAAGUCUAAAUCAACACGAAUAACUCUUUGAUAAUUAUUCAGCCCUGAUAACAAAGUAGCACCACCACAAUACAAAAAUCCUACUUAUUUAACUGUUAACCAAACAUAUGAACAUGAAAGAAAGAUAAAAAAAUUAGGAAGGAACUCGGCAAACAUAAGUCUCGCCUGUUUACCAAAAACAUCGCCUUUUGAACAUUAUAAAAGGUAACGCCUGCCCAGUGAUUUAUAUUUAACGGCCGCGGUAUUCUGACCGUGCAAAGGUAGCGUAAUCACUUGUCUUUUAAAUAAAGACUAGUAUGAAUGGCAUCACGAGGACUUAACUGUCUCCCUAAUUUAAUCAGUGAAACUGAUCUUCCUGUGAAAAAGCAGGAAUAACUUAAUAAGACGAGAAGACCCUAUGGAGCUUAAAAUCUAAAUCUACUUAUAUUUUCUAAUAAUAAAAUAUUACUAAUUUAUAGGCUUAGAUUAAGUUUUUGGUUGGGGCGACAAUGGAGAAAAAUUUAUCCUCCAUGAAGAAAAACUUUGAGUCACCACUCUUAGUAUUAGCAAGCCUAACUUAAAUUGAUCCAAAUUUUGAUCAACGGAACAAGUUACCCUAGGGAUAACAGCGCAAUCCAUUUCAAGAGUUCAUAUCGACAAAUGGGUUUACGACCUCGAUGUUGGAUUAGGACAUCCUAG
This 1365-nucleotide ribosomal RNA is filed under the name Leptobrachium rakhinensis. Its description in RNAcentral is "partial 16S ribosomal RNA". It matches the Rfam family "Bacterial large subunit ribosomal RNA", at positions 363 to 2550 of the family's 2925-position model. Lineage: Eukaryota; Metazoa; Chordata; Amphibia; Anura; Megophryidae. The record is from RNAcentral.